This 406-nucleotide ribosomal RNA is filed under the name uncultured bacterium. RNAcentral's name for it is "partial 16S ribosomal RNA". It matches the Rfam family "Bacterial small subunit ribosomal RNA", at positions 30 to 526 of the family's 1533-position model. The record is from RNAcentral.
AUUGAACGCUGGCGGCAAGCCUAACACAUGCACGUCGAACGAGUGGCGGACGGGUGAGUAAUGUCUGGGAAACUGCCUGAUGGAGGGGGAUAACUCCUGGAAACGGUAGCUAAUACCGCAUACCAUCGGAUGUGCCCAGAUGGGAUUCGCUAGUAGGUGGGGUAAAGGCUAACCUAGGCGACGAUCCCUAGUUGGUCUGCGAGGAUGACCAGCCACACUGUAAAUGAGCGACGGGCCAGACUCCUACGGGAGGCAGCAGUGGGGAAUAUUGCACAAUGGGCGCAAGCCUGAUGCAGCCAUGCCGCGUGUAUGAAGAAGGCCUUCGGGUUGUAAAGUACUUUCAGCGGGGAGGCGUUACCCGCAGAAGAAGCACCGGCUAACUCCGUGCCAGCCGCCGCGGUAAUUC